CCCAAAGGUGAAUUUUUUG
RNAcentral lists this microRNA (19 nucleotides) under Pteropus alecto (black flying fox). Its description in RNAcentral is "pal-miR-186-3p". Its record names the gene pal-miR-186-3p. The record is from miRBase by way of RNAcentral. Lineage: Eukaryota; Metazoa; Chordata; Mammalia; Chiroptera; Pteropodidae.